GACGAACGCUGGCGGCGUGCUUAACACAUGCAAGUCGAACGAAGAGCGAUGGAAGCUUGCUUCUAUCACUCUUAGUGGCGAACGGGUGAGUAACGCGUAAUCAACCUGCCCUUCAGAGGGGGACAACAGUUGGAAACGACUACUAAUACCGCAUACGAUCUAAUCUCGGCAUCGAGGAUAGAUGAAAGGUGGCCUCUACAUGUAAGCUAUCACUGAAGGAGGGGAUUGCGUCUGAUUAGCUAGUUGGAGGGGUAACGGCCCACCAAGGCGAUGAUCAGUAGCCGGUCUGAGAGGAUGAACGGCCACAUUGGGACUGAGACACGGCCCAGACUCCUACGGGAGGCAGCAGUGGGGAAUCUUCCGCAAUGGACGAAAGUCUGACGGAGCAACGCCGCGUGAGUGAUGACGGCCUUCGGGUUGUAAAGCUCUGUUAAUCGGGACGAAAGGCCUUCUUGCGAAUAGUGAGAAGGAUUGACGGUACCGGAAUAGAAAGCCACGGCUAACUACGUG
RNAcentral lists this ribosomal RNA (510 nucleotides) under uncultured bacterium. RNAcentral's name for it is "partial 16S ribosomal RNA". It matches the Rfam family "Bacterial small subunit ribosomal RNA", at positions 28 to 507 of the family's 1533-position model. The record is from RNAcentral.